GGGGAAUUAGGGUUUAACGUGUGACCCUUCAACUUCUCAUUAUUCAGACUCAACCUUCUCUCAUUUCACUUUUCACAAACCAAUGCCGGAAAUCGCUCCGCCACGCCGGAGGCGGCGGAGCUCGACCAAAAUGUAAAACAAACACAUCAUCCUGAUCGUCUCUCCUUCCCCUACCCCAAUCUCAUGCCAAUUUCUGCAAAUUUUCCCUAAAAUUGAAACCCUAAAACACUUUCAAAACCGAAUUAGAUGAAGAAGACAAAGUCAUAGGCUUUAAGACCUUAGGGGAAACGUUCAAUAUGCAUCAACUAACACGAUUACAUCAAGAAAAUAGAGACGAAGAGGAUUACCUGGUGUGCCGGAGGGAGUUGGAGACUGAGGAACCUAGAGGGAGAAUUGAAGCUGAAAAUGAUCGACGGUGAAGGUAGAGUUUGAAGGUUGCAUUGAUGAUGAGAUUGAGAAUGAAGAACUGAGAUGAUGAUGAAUGAGGAGGCGAGGGAUUGAAGGUGAAGAAGUGAGGGAUUGAAGCAGGUUUGGCUGAUAGAAGAAGAUGAUCAAAGACUGAGCCAAAACCAGAGCGUGAAGAGUGAAAAAAAGUUAACCCCUGAAGAAUGGAGAAGGCUCUGACUUUAUAGAAGAUUCCAGGUCCACAAUAUUGCCUACCUGAAGGUGAUGAAGAUGGAAGCAUCUUUGGUGUAACAUGAAGUUAUUCAAGAAAGUGUCAUGGCCAACUGAAGAUGAAUAGAGGCUUGAAGGUGGCAUAGGAAGUGGGAUUAGAAACAAUAGGCUAUCAACAUUUUUGGUGCAAUUCUCUUGUAGUUUUGUAAUGAGACUAUGUAACGUAUCUUAAAUCUCGAUUCUUGUAAGUGCAAAGAUUUGGUUUUUCCAAAUUGAUUUGAAUUGUAUUUUCCCUCCAAAUACUCUUGAAUUUGUAUUUCCAAUCUUUUCACUUCUAUUUUGCAUUUCAACUCAAUUAUGUAUGAUGAAAAAUCCAAAAGGAUUAAGAUGGGCUUAUGUCAUGGUUUGACUAAGAUCUUCCCCCAAUGUAUUUUUCAUAUACUCAAUCUUGACUCUUAAAGCUUGUUUCAAUUUUCACCGAGGGUUGCUAGCGAGACACCAUUGAAUUGCAAAACAAAAAUGGAUGAAUUUAAAUCUUUAAAGAACGAAUCAACUCUUUGAACAUCUCUUUGAACAUCUGACUAUCAAACCAUG
Molecule: long non-coding RNA, 1209 nt
Organism: Vicia villosa (hairy vetch)
Lineage: Eukaryota; Viridiplantae; Streptophyta; Magnoliopsida; Fabales; Fabaceae
Exons: 3
Source: RefSeq, a predicted model, not a curated record